CAGCAGACACAUUCCAGCCAAUCAGCAGCAGACCCUCCCUCCCAGACUCUCCCACCUGGACAGCAUCCAUUUUGAAGCUGCAUUCUUAGUGAGCUGUCCAGGAGGUGGAAGGGUCUGGGAGGGAGGGUCUGCUGCUGAUUGGCUGGAAUGAUGAGUCCG
Molecule: non-coding RNA, 159 nt
Organism: Pelobates cultripes (western spadefoot toad)
Lineage: Eukaryota; Metazoa; Chordata; Amphibia; Anura; Pelobatidae
Source: the annotation of a GenBank genome assembly